RNAcentral lists this ribosomal RNA (579 nucleotides) under uncultured Sphingobacteriales bacterium. RNAcentral's name for it is "bacterial SSU rRNA". It matches the Rfam family "Bacterial small subunit ribosomal RNA", at positions 340 to 919 of the family's 1533-position model. Lineage: Bacteria; Pseudomonadati; Bacteroidota; Sphingobacteriia; Sphingobacteriales. The record is from RNAcentral.
UACGGGAGGCAGCAGUAGGGAAUAUUGGUCAAUGGGGGCAACCCUGAACCAGCCAUGCCGCGUGCAGGACUAAGGCCCUAUGGGUCGUAAACUGCUUUUGAACGGGAAGAAAUGUAUCUACGUGUAGAUAUUUGACGGUACCGUUAGAAUAAGGAUCGGCUAACUUCGUGCCAGCGGCCGCGGUAAUACGAAGGAUCCAAGCGUUGUCCGGAUUUACUGGGUUUAAAGGGUGCGUAGGCGGACUUAUAAGUCAGUGGUGAAAGCCUUCAGCUUAACUGAAGAACUGCCAUUGAAACUGUGAGUCUCGAGUUCGGUUGAGGUCGUUGGAAUGUAACAUGUAGCGGUGAAAUGCAUAGAUAUGUUACAGAACACCAAUUGCGAAGGCAGAUGACUAAACCGAAACUGACGCUGAGGCACGAAAGCGUGGGGAUCAAACAGGAUUAGAUACCCUGGUAGUCCACGCCCUAAACGUUGAAUACUCGACCUUAGCGAUAUACAGUUAGGGUCCAAGCGAAAGCGUUAAGUAUUCCACCUGGGAAGUACGUUCGCAAGAAUGAAACUCAAAGGAAUUGACGGGGA